Molecule: ribosomal RNA, 533 nt
Filed under: uncultured Rickettsiales bacterium
Lineage: Bacteria; Pseudomonadati; Pseudomonadota; Alphaproteobacteria; Rickettsiales
Description: bacterial SSU rRNA
Rfam family: Bacterial small subunit ribosomal RNA
Source: RNAcentral
GGCGGUAAUACGGAAGGUCCUAGCGUUGUUCGGAAUUACUGGGCGUAAAGCGCAUGUAGGCGGAACAAAAAGUUAGAAGUGAAAUCCCUGGGCUCAACCUAGGAAUUGCUUUUAAAACUUUUGUUCUGGAAUUCAGGAGAGGAAAAUGGAAUUUCCAGUGUAGAGGUGAAAUUCGUAGAUAUUGGAAGGAACACCAGUGGCGAAGGCGAUUUUCUGGACUGAUAUUGACGCUGAGAUGCGAAGGCAUGGGUAGCAAACGGGAUUAGAUACCCCGGUAGUCCAUGCAGUAAACGAUGGGUGCUAGUCGUCGGACUUUUGUUCGGUGUCGUAGCUAACGCGUUAAGCACCCCGCCUGGGGAGUACGGUCGCAAGAUUAAAACUCAAAUAAAUUGACGGGGACCCGCACAAGCAGUGGAGCAUGUGGUUUAAUUCGACGCAACGCGAAGAACCUUACCAGCGUUUGACAUGGGAAGUGCCGGUUACAGAAUGGUAACCUUCAGUUCGGCUGGCUUCCACACAGGUGCUGCAUGGCU